UUUUCACUCACUUUAUGUUAUAUAAUUUAUAUAUUAAUUUGGACUUUUGUUAACAGCACAUGGCGAAGAAACAAAAUGUAAAUGGCAUAUGCUAAUUUUUGAUGUUGGCAAAGCAGACUGCGCGAAAAAUAUACUAAAAACAAAGCACAAGGGAGUGUCCCUGGGCCCCACCCCUGCCGAAGAAAAAAAAAACAAGCAUGAAUGGGGCGCGCAACAGACGCACAAACAAAGGAUAAAGUAUGUGGUUAGGCGCACGGCGGAGUCAGCAGGAAGUUGUAUACACUCACAAACACACACACACACACUGUCAUACAUAUAAAGUAAAUGCGAAAACGUGGCGCGAAUAUAAAAUGUAGACGCUGAUGACGCGGCACUGCGGUCGUUGCGUUUUUCAAGAUA
This is a long non-coding RNA of Drosophila montana, 399 nucleotides long. RefSeq lists it as uncharacterized. The record is from RefSeq and is a predicted model, not a curated record. The transcript has 2 exons. Lineage: Eukaryota; Metazoa; Arthropoda; Insecta; Diptera; Drosophilidae.